This 1607-nucleotide ribosomal RNA is filed under the name metagenome. Its description in RNAcentral is "SSU rRNA". It matches the Rfam family "Eukaryotic small subunit ribosomal RNA", at positions 372 to 1801 of the family's 1831-position model. The record is from RNAcentral.
GGGGUUCGAUUCCGGAGAGGGUGCCUGAGAGAUGGCAACCAUGGCUAUGGCCAGCAGCAGGCGCGCAAAUUGCCCAAUGCCGACACGGUGAGGCAGCGACGAAAAAUAACAACUUCACCGCCCUUUAGGGCAUGAAGUUUGUAAUGAUUUGUAAACACACGUACUAAGAGUAUCCAUUGGAGGACAAGUCUGGUGCCAGCACCCGCGGUAAUACCAGCUCCAAGAGCGUAUAUUUAUGUUGCUGCGGUUAAAAAGCUCGUAGUUGGACGUAAGAGUCGAGACUGUGGUCCGACAAGCCGGUUGAAAGGUUCGCCUGGAGGCCGGUGCACUCGGCUGCAAUAUGUCAACGCUCUUUCAUCUUGCGGGAGUGGUUGCUUGCCGAAGCCACCUUUAUUGGUCGGUGGAAGCUCUUUCGGAGUCUCUCGCUCCACAAGGCACGCCCGCAGAUGUUACUGUGAGUAAAUCAGAAUGUUCAAAGCAGACGGCUUGCCGUUUGAAUGUUAAAGCAUGGGAUAACAAGGGAUCGACCGCUAAGGCCUCUUUUUGUUGGUUUUCAAGCCUCAGUGUGGCAACUCCGCAAAGAGCUACUCCUGGGCGUUUCCGGAUCCUUCCGGGGGCGUCCUUGUAGAGCCCUUUGUCUUCGGGAUCAAUAGGAGCGCGGGGAGCAAUCAGUACUUCGAGGUGAGAGGUGAAAUUCAUAGACCCUCGAAAGACUAACAUCAGCGAAAGCCGUUUGCUAUCGCGCUUUCAUUAAUCAAGAACGAGAGAAAGGGGAUCGAAGAUGAUCAGAUACCGUCGUAGUCCUUUCCGUAAAUGAUGCAGACUCGGGAUCGGUCACUGUUCUUCUAGUGACAUGAUCGGCACCUUAUUCCCUGUCGAGAAAUCAAAGUCUUUGUGUUCCGGGGGGAGUAUAUUCGCAAGGCUGAAACUUAAAGGAAUUGACGGAAAACCACCACCAGACGUGGAGUGUGUGGCUUAAUUCGACCCAACACGGGAAAUCUUACCAGGCCAGGACAUGGUAAGGAUUGCCAGAUUGAAAGCUCUUGCAUGAUCCCAUGAAGGGUAGUGCAUGGCCGCUUCUGGUUGGUGGAGUGAUUUGUCUGCUUAAUUGCGUUAACGAACGAGAUCUCUGCCAAUAAAUAGACGGUAGUUCCGCCUUAGGUUAUUCUUCGUCCUUUGGUUCUGCCAAGGGUCGUUGAGUGCUGAGGAGCUGCCCGUUACUUAUUGGGAUUAUGUAUCCCUCAAAUACAUUGAAACGAGAGCCAAAAGCAGGUCUGUGAUGCUCCUAUAUGUCCUGGGCCGCACGCGCACUACACUGACACAGAAAACGAGCAUUCCGCUUGCGGCCUGCGCCGAAGGGCGCGGGAAAUCUUUGAAACCUGUGUCGUGAUGGGGAUAGAUCAUUGAAAUUAUUGUCCUUGAACGAGGAAUGUCUUGUAGGCGCGUUUCAUCAGAACGCACCGAAUACGUCCCUGGUUUUUGUACACACCGCCCGUCGUUGCCUGUAAUGGCUUGCGAGUAGAACCGUUUGGAGAUACUGGUGCUUGCAUCGGUUCAAAAUUCGGUAAUACUUGUAAGCUAGAAGAGGCAAAAGUCGUAACAAGGUU